AAGACUAUAGACCUGCGGAGUACCUGCGGAGGGAUCAUUAAAGAGUUGCAAGACUCCCAAACCAUUGUGAACGUUACCCACACCGUUGCUUCGGCGGGCGGCCCGGGCCCUGCCCGGCGCCCCCCGGCCCCUCGCGGGCGCCCGCCGGAGGUAAACCAAACUCUUGAAUUGUAUGGCCUCUCUGAGUCUUCUGUACUGAAUAAGUCAAAACUUUCAACAACGGAUCUCUAGAUCGGAAGA
This 240-nucleotide unclassified non-coding RNA is filed under the name soil metagenome. RNAcentral's name for it is "partial contains 5.8S ribosomal RNA, internal transcribed spacer 2, and large subunit ribosomal RNA". The record is from RNAcentral.